This 566-nucleotide ribosomal RNA is filed under the name uncultured bacterium. RNAcentral describes it as "bacterial SSU rRNA". It matches the Rfam family "Bacterial small subunit ribosomal RNA", at positions 338 to 916 of the family's 1533-position model. The record is from RNAcentral.
CCUACGGGAGGCAGCAGUGGGGAAUAUUGGGCAAUGGAGGAAACUCUGACCCAGCGACGCCGCGUGCGGGAUGAAGGCCUUCGGGUUGUAAACCGCUUUCAGUAGGGAAGAAGCGAAAGUGACGGUACCUACAGAAGAAGCACCGGCUAACUAUGUGCCAGCAGCCGCGGUAAUACAUAGGGUGCAAGCGUUGUCCGGAAUUAUUGGGCGUAAAGAGCUCGUAGGUGGUUCGUCACGUCGGAUGUGAAAAUCUGGGGCUCAACCCCAGACCUGCAUUCGAUACGGGCGAUCUAGAGUGUGGUAGGGGAGACUGGAAUUCCUGGUGUAGCGGUGGAAUGCGCAGAUAUCAGGAGGAACACCAAUGGCGAAGGCAGGUCUCUGGGCCAUUACUGACACUGAGGAGCGAAAGCGUGGGGAGCGAACAGGAUUAGAUACCCUGGUAGUCCACGCCGUAAACGGUGGGCACUAGUUGUGGGAACCUUCCACGGUUUCUGCGACGCAGCUAACGCAUUAAGUGCCCGCCUGGGGAGUACGAUCGCAAGAUUAAAACUCAAAGGAAUUGACGG